Molecule: long non-coding RNA, 489 nt
Filed under: Physcomitrium patens
Lineage: Eukaryota; Viridiplantae; Streptophyta; Bryopsida; Funariales; Funariaceae
Description: long non-coding RNA (PPAT_LNC014417)
Source: RNAcentral
UGUAAUAAUAUUUUAGCAACAAAGAUUAACUAUAAAAUCCACAAUAAAGAAUUUUUUGCAAUUAUGGAUUUUUUUCAAGAAUGGCAUCAUUAUUUAGAAGGUACUUCUAGUCUAGUUACCAUAUAUAGAUAUCACAAGAAAAUUAAGUAUUUUAAGUCAAAGUAGGUGUUAAAUUAUUGUUAGGCUUAUUAAAGCAUGUGAGCUCUGAUUUAUGAUCCAAAAUUUCAUUUUUAAAUUUUUUCUUAUUUUAUGAUAAUUGAGUAUGUUAGAUUAGGAUUUUUAUAAGUAGAAUCUAGUUUUAUUAAAUUUUUCGGAUUAUAACCUUUGAUGGUAUAAAUCCUAGCCUGAUUCCUUGAGUUAGGUUAAUUAAGACCAAAAUGAUAAGGAUUAGAAAAUUAGAAUAGUAAUUUGAUUAAUUUUAAUAAUUUAGAGGUUUUUAGUCAUUGCUAUAAAGGUUGAUUGUGAGUCUAUGAGUUCACCUACAAUCAU